This 888-nucleotide ribosomal RNA is filed under the name uncultured bacterium. Its description in RNAcentral is "bacterial SSU rRNA". It matches the Rfam family "Bacterial small subunit ribosomal RNA", at positions 76 to 937 of the family's 1533-position model. The record is from RNAcentral.
AGCUUUGGCUCCUAAGUAAAGUGGCGAACGGGUGCGUAACACGUAGGUAAUCUACCCUGGACUCUGGGAUAACUUUUCGAAAGAGAAGCUAAGACUGGAUAGGGUCCUCGAGAUGGAAGUUGUGAGGGGAAAACAGGCCUCUGCUGUAUGCUUGUGGUCCAGGAUGAGCUUGCGGCUCAUUAGCUAGUUGGUAGGGUAAUGGCCUACCAAGGCAACGAUGGGUAGCUGGUCUGAGAGGAUGAUCAGCCACACUGGCACUGAGAGACGGGCCAGACUCCUACGGGAGGCAGCAGUGGGGAAUUUUGCGCAAUGGGCGAAAGCCUGACGCAGUAACGCCGCGUGGAGGACGAAGGCCUUCGGGUUGUAAACUCCUGUCAGGGGGAACGACGGGUGCGAGACAAAUAGGAUUGCACUCCAGACGGUACCCUCAAAGGAAGCCCCGGCUAAUUCCGUGCCAGCAGCCGCGGUAAUACGGAAGGGGCAAGCGUUGUUCGGAAUUAUUGGGCGUAAAGGGCGCGUAGGCGGUCUCGCAUGUCUGCUGUGAAAGCACACGGCUCAACCGUGGAGGGUCAGUGGAAACUGUGAGACUUGAGGCUGGGAGGGGCCGGUGGAAUUCCCCGUGUAGCGGUGAAAUGCGUAGAGACGGGGGAGAACACUCGUGGCGAAGGCGGCCGGCUAGACCAGUCCUGACGCUGAGGCGCGAUAGCGUGGGGAGCAAACAGGAUUAGAUACCCUGGUAGUCCACGCCGUAAACGAUGGGCACUAGGUGUUGGCGGUAUUCACUCCGUCAGUGCCGGCGCUAACGCAGUAAGUGCCCCGCCUGGGGGAGUACGGUCGCAAGGCUGAAACUCAAAAGGAAUUGACGGGGGGCCCGCACAAGCGGGUGAA